RNAcentral lists this unclassified non-coding RNA (150 nucleotides) under uncultured Pleosporales. RNAcentral's name for it is "sequence contains ITS2". Lineage: Eukaryota; Fungi; Ascomycota; Dothideomycetes; Pleosporales. The record is from RNAcentral.
AAACCUUCAAGCAUUGCUUGGUGUUGGGCCUUGUUCCGCUUUGUGCGAACUCGCCCUGAAUACAUUGGCAACCAGCAAUUGGGUGUUGGAGCGCAGCACAUUUUGCGUUCCUAGCCAUAGUAGCCGGUGUCCAGAAAGCUUAUUUUAACG